GCCAGGCGUGGUGGCGCAUGCUUGUAAUCCCAGCGACUGGAGAGGCUGAUGGAGGAGGAUGGCAUGUUCGAGGCCAGCAAUUUAGCGAGCCUCUAUCUC
RNAcentral lists this small RNA (99 nucleotides) under Marmota monax (woodchuck). The record is from RNAcentral. Lineage: Eukaryota; Metazoa; Chordata; Mammalia; Rodentia; Sciuridae.